RNAcentral lists this ribosomal RNA (2227 nucleotides) under Escherichia coli. RNAcentral describes it as "partial 23S ribosomal RNA". It matches the Rfam family "Bacterial large subunit ribosomal RNA", at positions 412 to 2624 of the family's 2925-position model. The record is from RNAcentral. Lineage: Bacteria; Pseudomonadati; Pseudomonadota; Gammaproteobacteria; Enterobacterales; Enterobacteriaceae.
GUAGGGCGGGACACGUGGUAUCCUGUCUGAAUAUGGGGGGACCAUCCUCCAAGGCUAAAUACUCCUGACUGACCGAUAGUGAACCAGUACCGUGAGGGAAAGGCGAAAAGAACCCCGGCGAGGGGAGUGAAAAAGAACCUGAAACCGUGUACGUACAAGCAGUGGGAGCCUCUUUAUGGGGUGACUGCGUACCUUUUGUAUAAUGGGUCAGCGACUUAUAUUCUGUAGCAAGGUUAACCGAAUAGGGGAGCCGAAGGGAAACCGAGUCUUAACUGGGCGUUAAGUUGCAGGGUAUAGACCCGAAACCCGGUGAUCUAGCCAUGGGCAGGUUGAAGGUUGGGUAACACUAACUGGAGGACCGAACCGACUAAUGUUGAAAAAUUAGCGGAUGACUUGUGGCUGGGGGUGAAAGGCCAAUCAAACCGGGAGAUAGCUGGUUCUCCCCGAAAGCUAUUUAGGUAGCGCCUCGUGAAUUCAUCUCCGGGGGUAGAGCACUGUUUCGGCAAGGGGGUCAUCCCGACUUACCAACCCGAUGCAAACUGCGAAUACCGGAGAAUGUUAUCACGGGAGACACACGGCGGGUGCUAACGUCCGUCGUGAAGAGGGAAACAACCCAGACCGCCAGCUAAGGUCCCAAAGUCAUGGUUAAGUGGGAAACGAUGUGGGAAGGCCCAGACAGCCAGGAUGUUGGCUUAGAAGCAGCCAUCAUUUAAAGAAAGCGUAAUAGCUCACUGGUCGAGUCGGCCUGCGCGGAAGAUGUAACGGGGCUAAACCAUGCACCGAAGCUGCGGCAGCGACACUAUGUGUUGUUGGGUAGGGGAGCGUUCUGUAAGCCUGUGAAGGUGGCCUGUGAGGGUUGCUGGAGGUAUCAGAAGUGCGAAUGCUGACAUAAGUAACGAUAAAGCGGGUGAAAAGCCCGCUCGCCGGAAGACCAAGGGUUCCUGUCCAACGUUAAUCGGGGCAGGGUGAGUCGACCCCUAAGGCGAGGCCGAAAGGCGUAGUCGAUGGGAAACAGGUUAAUAUUCCUGUACUUGGUGUUACUGCGAAGGGGGGACGGAGAAGGCUAUGUUGGCCGGGCGACGGUUGUCCCGGUUUAAGCGUGUAGGCUGGUUUUCCAGGCAAAUCCGGAAAACCAAGGCUGAGGCGUGAUGACGAGGCACUACGGUGCUGAAGCGACAAAUGCCCUGCUUCCAGGAAAAGCCUCUAAGCAUCAGGUAACAUCAAAUCGUACCCCAAACCGACACAGGUGGUCAGGUAGAGAAUACCAAGGCGCUUGAGAGAACUCGGGUGAAGGAACUAGGCAAAAUGGUGCCGUAACUUCGGGAGAAGGCACGCUGAUAUGUAGGUGAAGCGACUUGCUCGUGGAGCUGAAAUCAGUCGAAGAUACCAGCUGGCUGCAACUGUUUAUUAAAAACACAGCACUGUGCAAACACGAAAGUGGACGUAUACGGUGUGACGCCUGCCCGGUGCCGGAAGGUUAAUUGAUGGGGUUAGCGGUAACGCGAAGCUCUUGAUCGAAGCCCCGGUAAACGGCGGCCGUAACUAUAACGGUCCUAAGGUAGCGAAAUUCCUUGUCGGGUAAGUUCCGACCUGCACGAAUGGCGUAAUGAUGGCCAGGCUGUCUCCACCCGAGACUCAGUGAAAUUGAACUCGCUGUGAAGAUGCAGUGUACCCGCGGCAAGACGGAAAGACCCCGUGAACCUUUACUAUAGCUUGACACUGAACAUUGAGCCUUGAUGUGUAGGAUAGGUGGGAGGCUUUGAAGUGUGGACGCCAGUCUGCAUGGAGCCGACCUUGAAAUACCACCCUUUAAUGUUUGAUGUUCUAACGUUGGCCCGUAAUCCGGGUUGCGGACAGUGUCUGGUGGGUAGUUUGACUGGGGCGGUCUCCUCCUAAAGAGUAACGGAGGAGCACGAAGGUUGGCUAAUCCUGGUCGGACAUCAGGAGGUUAGUGCAAUGGCAUAAGCCAGCUUGACUGCGAGCGUGACGGCGCGAGCAGGUGCGAAAGCAGGUCAUAGUGAUCCGGUGGUUCUGAAUGGAAGGGCCAUCGCUCAACGGAUAAAAGGUACUCCGGGGAUAACAGGCUGAUACCGCCCAAGAGUUCAUAUCGACGGCGGUGUUUGGCACCUCGAUGUCGGCUCAUCACAUCCUGGGGCUGAAGUAGGUCCCAAGGGUAUGGCUGUUCGCCAUUUAAAGUGGUACGCGAGCUGGGUUUAGAACGUCGUGA